CACAGCCGCCCCUCGUUUGAUGAGUGAGCAGCUGCCUCGAAAUAACACAAUAAAGAGUCGCUCCUGUCUGGGCUGUCUCUAGAAUAGGGGGCGACAUCUCCAGGAUGGAGUUGCAGCAGGCCUGACUUCAUAUAACAUCCUAAUUAAAUGCUUGUUAUUCAUACAACAGAGGCCUGGUGGUCGAGGUGACACACCAGAUAACAUGACAAGUUCUCUUGGCCUCCUGACAGCAGCUGCUCCAGUGUGCUAAGGCUAAAUGAAGAGUGAAAACCCGAACUCUAGCAAAGUGAUUACAGAGGUGAACUUCCAGGCUCGUAGCUGCAGGGGGACUUGGAAAGACGGUUGCCUGAAACCUUGGAGAGCUGUUGCCAGCCAGUGUGGCUCAUACUAAGUUAGAUGGACCAACGCUCUGACUUGGGAUCAGAUGGCUCCUUAGAAUGCAGGCAGCAGUCCUAAGUGGAGUCAGGGAGGAGCAGAACAGAACAUCCACCGUCAUGCAUCCCAAGCCUCAUUGGCAUGUGACCCAUAUGUGGUUUGUUUGUUUUUGCUACAACGGCUCAUGCCACCUUAAAUAUACCUUCAGAAGGUGGUGGAAAUAUAUUCUUAAAUUAUUCCAACUGCUGAAGGGGUAACUUGAGCCUGCAUCCUUAAAAGGUUAGUGCAGAAGACUGAUUAAACCAGGCUUCCUCAACCUCGGCCCUCCAGAUGUUUUGAGACUACAAUUCCCAUCAUCCCUGACCACUGGUCCUGCUAGCUAGGGAUCAUGGGAGUUGUAGGCCAAAAACAUCUGGAGGGCCGAGGUUGAGGAAGCCUGGGUUAAACCCUUCUGUGAGUCUACAAACUCACAUGGAAUGGGAAACAAAAGACAAAGAGGUUAAGUAUGUAAUGAUAAAGUGGGCAAAGGAUCUGGGACAUAACAUACAAACAAAUGAUUGGGGAAAACUUUGGAAGGUGGAUCCUUAGUUUAUUGAUUAUUAUUUUUGAAAAAAUUAUUGACAAAAAUAUAUAAACUCACAUAGGAAAAUUAAUAAUAAUAAUAAUAAUAAUAAUAGAUUCUCUGAUUUUGAGCAGAUAGUUAAGGAACAAAAAAUCCUGCAAAGCCUGUUAGCUGAGUGGAUUAGACAAAGGAUGGCUGGGCUACAUUCAAAUGCCUUGGAAAAAGAAAAAAAGAACUAUAUUUGGGUGAAAAAGCAUGAUAAAUGGGGCAUAACAUUAACAGCCAAUGUAGAAGGGUGUAGCAAUGCAAGGGAUACAAACUUGGCAAUGUGACAUGAUUUAUCAGAUCAACUAGAAAUAGUUAAUGAGUAUGCAUGCUUUUAAGCUCAACUGGACAGCUGGCUUAUUCAUACACCAACAAUUUUUGCUCCAAUACAAGACAACUCGGGGGGGGGGGGGAUAUGAAGGUUCUAUUAAAUAUGCUCAGGUGCUUAGCAACAUCAUUGCAAUCUUCUCAGCAUCCCCGCCCUCUCCGUGGCAACACGCUGACGGCAUGUUAAAAUUCAGAGAAACAAAAGUUUCCAAAUGGUUUCUGAAAAGCACAAGUCAGCUGGAAGGAGCCAACUAGGAAAGGCUCCAAUGCCAAGAGUAGGUGUUGGGUUUUGUUUUUUUUACUUGCUAUAAAAUUAACAAGCUCUUUGUGGGUUCAGUUUUCAGUUUGGUGCAGGGGGCUCGCAGUGUUUGAGGAAAUGCUGGGGGGCACAGGGAGAAUUCUCAUUUUGGUUCCAAAUGGGAGACAAAGCUUCCCUCAAAUAUUGUUAAUUUGUGAAGCUGCCAGGGUGAUUGAUGCUCUGUGAAAUGGCAGCUUUCCUUGUAGCUUACAGAACUGCUAUUAAUGCAGUCAGAAAGCCUUCACUCCUUCAAGGGAUCCUCACACUGAAUAUUAAUAGCACACAUCUUGCCUCUUCCGUUUGGGUUUCUUUGAAGGAUCCUCUGCCUUGGCAACAAGAGGAUAUGGGAAGCUGAUGGACUAUAUGGAACUGGCGGAGAUGACUGGCAGAAUCCGAGACCAGGGAGAAGAGUCAGUGGAAGAAGACUGGAAAAAGCUUAAAGACUACUUACAGAAAUACUGUAAAAUUAAUGAAUGUUAGGAAAAUGUUGGAAUGAAGUUAUAUGGCUUUAGUAGAAAUGUUAUAAGGAAUUAAGUAUAAAUAGAUUAAUAGAGUACUAAAGGGAAAAAUAAGGUUAGAAUCUUUUAAGAUAAUUGAAAGAUAGAAAGCAGAGGAAGAUGGAAAGGAAUUGCUGAAACAAUUAACAGAAGUGGAAUACAAAAAGGGAGGUGUGAGGAGGUCACUGAAAUAAGUGAACGAAAGAUAAGAUAUGGAAAUUGUUCGAUUUUUUUUUUAAAUUGUUUUUGUUCUGUUAGUUUAGUGCGUUGUGUAGUGUUUUUGUAUUGUGUUGUGCUGUUCUUUUUUCUUCUUAUUUUUGUGUGUGUUUGAAUUGUCGGAAAAGUAAUAAAUAUUAUUUUUUUUAAAAAAGAGGAUAUGGGAAGCAAAGCCUGGCUGCUAAUGCGGGCAGCAUGGAGCGCAAACACAGGGGCAGCCAUCCUGCAGACACACUAGCCUUUCCAUGGCAAGGAUGGAUGGAUGGAUGACUCAGACUAGUGGUCCAUCAAGGUCAGUAUUGUCUACUCCAGGGAUGGAGAACCCAGUGGUGAAGCUGCAUGCUGGAGAGCAGAUGGGUGGAGAGCAGAUGGGUGCUUGACUGGUGCACAUCCUGGGGGAGGGAUGUGGUGCGCAUCCUUGGGGUGUGGCGCGCUGCCCGCAGGGCCGUGGCACCCGCCAUAGUGGGGUGCGUGUGGUGCAUGUCGGGGAGGGGGGCAGCCACAAUGGUUCCCCCUGCCCCCCGUUCCUCCGCCAGUGCCCUUACCUGGACCUUCGACUCUCGCCUGGCCACAGGCUUCCUGACCCCCUCACAUCACCAGCUCUGCUUUGUACCCUCAAGUGUUUUUGUCUAGCUAGAACAGUGGUUCACAAAGGGUGUGGUGUGCCACACUGGUGUGGCAGGAGAGGAUGACAAGUGUGACAGAAAGAUUCAAGGACAAUCACAGAAGCAUUUCAGUAUAGUAUGGCAUGGCAUAGCAUUAGUGUAUAUAUAUAUAUUCUUUGGCACUGCCCUUCUUUGGGAUUGGGAUGUAGACUGAUCUUCUCCAAUCCUCUGGCCACUGCUGAGUUUUCCAAAUUUGCUGGCAUAUUGAGUGUAGCACCUUAACAGCAUCAUCAUUUAAAAUUUUAAAUAGUUCCGCUGGAAUAUCAUCACUUCCACUGGCCUUGUUAUUAGCAAUGCUUUCUAAGGCCCAUUUGACUUCACUCUCCAGGAUGUCUGGCUCAAGGUCAGCAACCACACUACCUGGGGUGUACGAGACAUCCAUAUCUUUCUGGUAUAAUUCCUCUGUGUAUUCUUGCCACCUCUUCUUGAUGUCUUCUGCUUCUGUUAGGUCCUUUCCACUUUUGUCUUUUAUUAUGGUAAUCUUUGUACGAAAUGUUCCUUUCAUAUCUCCAACUUUCUUGAACAGAUCUCUGGUUUUUCCCAUUCUAUUGUUUUCCUCUAUUUCUUUGCAUUGCUCGUUUAAGAAGGCCUUCUUGUCUUUCCUUGCUAUUUUUUGGAAAUCUGCAUUCAAUUUCCUGUAUCUUUCACUAUCUCCCUCGCAUUUUGCUUGCCUUCUCUCCCCCGCUAUUUGUAAGGCCUCGUUGGACAGCCACUUUGCUUUCUUGCAUUUCCUUUUCAUUGGGAUGGUUUUAGUUGCUGACUUCUGUAUAAUGUUACGAGCCUCCAUCCAUAGUUCUUCAGGCACUCUGUCCACCAAAUCUAAAUCCUUAAACCUGUUCCUCACUUCCACUGUGUAUUCAUAAGGGAUUUGACUUAGAUUGUAUCUUACCGGCCCAGUGGUUUUUCCUACUUUCUUCAGUUUAAGCUUGAAUUUUGCUAUAAGAAGCUGAUGAUCUGAGCCACAGUCAGCUCCAGGUCUUGAUUUUGCUGACUGUAUAGAGCUUCUCCAUCUUUGGCUGCAGAGAAUAUAAUCAAUCUGAUUUCGAUGCUGCCCAUCUGGUGAUGUCCAUGCGUAGAGUCGUCUCUUGUGUUGUUGGAAAAGAGUGUUUGUGAUGACCAGCUUGUUCUCUUGGCAGAACUCUAUUAGCCUUUGCCCUGCUUCGUUUUGAAUUCCCAGGCCAAACUGCCAGUUGUUCCUUUUAUCUCUUGACUCCCUACUUUAGCAUUCCAAUCCCCUAUAAUGAGAAGAACAUCUGCCUUGGAUUCGUAUCGAGAUCAUUCUAUCAUUUUUGAGAUUGCAUCCCAGUACAGCUUUCGCCACUCUUUUGUUGACUAUGAGGGCCACUCCAUUUCUUUUACGGGAUUCUUGCCCACAGUAGUAGAUAUGAUAAUCAUCCGAACUGAAUUCGCCCAUUUCCAUCCAUUUUAGUUCACUGAUGCCCAGGAUGUCAAUAUUUAUUCUUGCCAUCUCAUUUUUGACCACAUCCAACUUACCAAGGUUCAUGGUUCUUACAUUCCAGGUUCCUAUGCAAUAUUUUUCUUUCACCUCAUCUGUCUCCUGAGAAAUAUCUAUGUGGGACAAGAAGCUACAGUUAGAACUGGAUAUGGAACAACUGAUUGGUUCAAAAUUGGGAAAGGAGUAUGGCAAGGCUGUAUACUGUCUCCCUGCUUAUUUAACAUAUAUGCAGAAUUCAUCAUGCGAAAGGCUGGGCUGGAUGAGUCCCAAGCCGGAAUUAAGAUUGCCGGAAGAAAUAUCAACAACCUCAGAUAUGCAGAUGACACAACCUUGAUGGCAGAAAGUGAGGAGGAAUUAAAGAACCUUUUGAUGAGGGUGAAAGAGGAGAGCACAAAAAUGGCCUGAAGCUCAACAUCAAAAAAACGAAGAUCAUGGCCACUGGUCCCAUCACCUCCUGGCAAAUAGAAGGGGAAGAAAUGGAGGCAGUGAGAGAUUUUACUUUUUUGGGCUCCAUGAUCACUGCAGAUGGUGACAGCAGUCACAAAAUUAAAAGAUGCCUGCUCCUUGGGAGAAAGGCGAUGGCAAACCUAGACAGCAUCUUAAAAAGCAGAGAGAUCACCUUGCCAACAAAGGUCCGUAUAGCUAAAGCCAUGGUUUUCCCAGUAGUGAUGUAUGGAAAUGAGAGCUGGACCAUCAAGAAGGCUGAUCGCCAAAAAAUUGAUGCUUUUGAAUUAUGGUGCUGGAGAAGACUCUUGAGAGUCCCAUGGACUGCAAGAAGAUCAAACGUAUCCAUUCUUAAGGAAAUCAGCCCUGAGUGCUCACUGGAAGGACAGAUCGUGAAGUUGAGGCUCCAAUACUUUGGCCACCUCAUGAGAAGAGAAGACUCCCUGGAAAAGACCCUGAUGUUGGGAAAGAUGGAGGGCACAAGGAGAAGGGGACGACAGAGGACGAGAUGGCUGGAUAGUGUUUACAAAGCUACAAACAUGAGUCUGACCAAACUGCGGGAGAAAGUGGAAGACAGGAG
Molecule: non-coding RNA, 5465 nt
Organism: Podarcis lilfordi (Lilford's wall lizard)
Lineage: Eukaryota; Metazoa; Chordata; Lepidosauria; Squamata; Lacertidae
Source: the annotation of a GenBank genome assembly